Non-coding RNA from Caenorhabditis elegans, 21 nucleotides. The record is from Ensembl. NCBI's taxonomy places the organism in Eukaryota, Metazoa, Nematoda, Chromadorea, Rhabditida, Rhabditidae.
UUAACUAAAGAGCAGAAUAUG